Molecule: ribosomal RNA, 468 nt
Filed under: uncultured bacterium
Lineage: Bacteria
Description: partial 16S ribosomal RNA
Rfam family: Bacterial small subunit ribosomal RNA
Source: RNAcentral
GACGAACGCUGGCGGCGUGCUUAACACAUGCAAGUCGAACGGAAAGGCCCUGCUUUUGUGGGGUGCUCGAGUGGCGAACGGGUGAGUAACACGUGAGUAACCUGCCCUUGACUUUGGGAUAACUUCAGGAAACUGGGGCUAAUACCGGAUAGGAGCUCCUGCUGCAUGGUGGGGGUUGGAAAGUUUCGGCGGUUGGGGAUGGACUCGCGGCUUAUCAGCUUGUUGGUGGGGUAGUGGCUUACCAAGGCUUUGACGGGUAGCCGGCCUGAGAAGGUGACCGGCCACAUUGGGACUGAGAUACGGCCCAGACUCCUACGGGAGGCAGCAGUCGGGAAUAUUGCACAAUGGGCGGAAGCCUGAUGCAGCAACGCCGCGUGCGGGAUGACGGCCUUCGGGUUGUAAACCGCUUUCGCCUGUGACGAAGCGUGAGUGACGGUAAUGGGUAAAGAAGCACCGGCUAACUACGUG